UGGCUCACUAACGUAUCUUGUCCGUUCUGAGUUCUGACAAAAAUAAAUCACCUUCUACUUCCAGAUUUUACCAGAGAAACAUCACUAAACAUUUGUAGCAAAUCAUAAGAAAUUUGGCCUUUUAACAUAUUUGCUUCAGAAGGCAUCCUAGCAACAAAGUUAUCUAUACUUGAAUGCUAAAUUGAGAACUAAAUCAGAUUUUUGUACCACGCCAAUUUCACUAUGAGAUCUGUGAAUUUUCAUCAUAACUAGCAUAGCAGAGCACC
This 266-nucleotide unclassified non-coding RNA is filed under the name Hevea brasiliensis (rubber tree). Lineage: Eukaryota; Viridiplantae; Streptophyta; Magnoliopsida; Malpighiales; Euphorbiaceae. The record is from RNAcentral.